RNAcentral lists this ribosomal RNA (1388 nucleotides) under Streptococcus thermophilus. Its description in RNAcentral is "bacterial SSU rRNA". It matches the Rfam family "Bacterial small subunit ribosomal RNA", at positions 45 to 1419 of the family's 1533-position model. Lineage: Bacteria; Bacillati; Bacillota; Bacilli; Lactobacillales; Streptococcaceae. The record is from RNAcentral.
UGCUAUACAUGCAGUAGAACGCUGAAGAGAGGAGCUUGCUCUUCUUGGAUGAGUUGCGAACGGGUGAGUAACGCGUAGGUAACCUGCCUUGUAGCGGGGGAUAACUAUUGGAAACGAUAGCUAAUACCGCAUAACAAUGGAUGACACAUGUCAUUUAUUUGAAAGGGGCAAUUGCUCCACUACAAGAUGGACCUGCGUUGUAUUAGCUAGUAGGUGAGGUAAUGGCUCACCUAGGCGACGAUACAUAGCCGACCUGAGAGGGUGAUCGGCCACACUGGGACUGAGACACGGCCCAGACUCCUACGGGAGGCAGCAGUAGGGAAUCUUCGGCAAUGGGGGCAACCCUGACCGAGCAACGCCGCGUGAGUGAAGAAGGUUUUCGGAUCGUAAAGCUCUGUUGUAAGUCAAGAACGGGUGUGAGAGUGGAAAGUUCACACUGUGACGGUAGCUUACCAGAAAGGGACGGCUAACUACGUGCCAGCAGCCGCGGUAAUACGUAGGUCCCGAGCGUUGUCCGGAUUUAUUGGGCGUAAAGCGAGCGCAGGCGGUUUGAUAAGUCUGAAGUUAAAGGGCUGUGGCUCAACCAUAGUUCGCUUUGGAAACUGUCAAACUUGAGUGCAGAAGGGGAGAGUGGAAUUCCAUGUGUAGCGGUGAAAUGCGUAGAUAUAUGGAGGAACACCGGUGGCGAAAGCGGCUCUCUGGUCUGUAACUGACGCUGAGGCUCGAAAGCGUGGGGAGCGAACAGGAUUAGAUACCCUGGUAGUCCACGCCGUAAACGAUGAGUGCUAGGUGUUGGAUCCUUUCCGGGAUUCAGUGCCGCAGCUAACGCAUUAAGCACUCCGCCUGGGGAGUACGACCGCAAGGUUGAAACUCAAAGGAAUUGACGGGGGCCCGCACAAGCGGUGGAGCAUGUGGUUUAAUUCGAAGCAACGCGAAGAACCUUACCAGGUCUUGACAUCCCGAUGCUAUUUCUAGAGAUAGAAAGUUACUUCGGUACAUCGGUGACAGGUGGUGCAUGGUUGUCGUCAGCUCGUGUCGUGAGAUGUUGGGUUAAGUCCCGCAACGAGCGCAACCCCUAUUGUUAGUUGCCAUCAUUCAGUUGGGCACUCUAGCGAGACUGCCGGUAAUAAACCGGAGGAAGGUGGGGAUGACGUCAAAUCAUCAUGCCCCUUAUGACCUGGGCUACACACGUGCUACAAUGGUUGGUACAACGAGUUGCGAGUCGGUGACGGCGAGCUAAUCUCUUAAAGCCAAUCUCAGUUCGGAUUGUAGGCUGCAACUCGCCUACAUGAAGUCGGAAUCGCUAGUAAUCGCGGAUCAGCACGCCGCGGUGAAUACGUUCCCGGGCCUUGUACACACCGCCCGUCACACCACGAGAGUUUGUAACA